This 214-nucleotide long non-coding RNA is filed under the name Helianthus annuus (common sunflower). RNAcentral's name for it is "sRNA HanXRQr2_Chr09g0393061". The record is from RNAcentral. Lineage: Eukaryota; Viridiplantae; Streptophyta; Magnoliopsida; Asterales; Asteraceae.
GAUAAACGGAAUUGUUAACUAAACUCGCCGGAAUAUUCCCUUGAAGAGAGUUGUUUCUCAUUGUUAGUUCGAUUAAGUUGACUGGAAAUGUCACCGUCGACGUCGCCGGAAGGUCGCCGGAGAUGAGGUUGUUGCUGACGUCGAGGAAGAGCCGGGAGUUAUAGAGGUGGAGACGACGUCGUUACGGAAGUGUUUGAGAGAUUGUAUGUCUUCC